This 253-nucleotide ribosomal RNA is filed under the name uncultured bacterium. RNAcentral's name for it is "partial 16S ribosomal RNA". It matches the Rfam family "Bacterial small subunit ribosomal RNA", at positions 524 to 776 of the family's 1533-position model. The record is from RNAcentral.
UACGGAGGGUGCAAGCGUUAAUCGGAAUUACUGGGCGUAAAGCGCACGCAGGCGGUAUGUCAAGUCGGAUGUGAAAUCCCCGGGCUCAACCCGGGAACUGCAUUCGAAACUGGCAGACUAGAGUCUUGUAGAGGGGGGUAGAAUUCCAGGUGUAGCGGUGAAAUGCGUAGAGAUCUCGAGGAAUACCGGUGGCGAAGGCGGCCCCCUGGACCAUGACUGACGCUCAGGCGCGAAAGCGUGGGUAGCAAACAGG